Molecule: ribosomal RNA, 253 nt
Filed under: uncultured bacterium
Lineage: Bacteria
Description: partial 16S ribosomal RNA
Rfam family: Bacterial small subunit ribosomal RNA
Source: RNAcentral
GACGUAGGGCGCGAGCGUUGUCCGGAUUUAUUGGGCGUAAAGAGCUCGUAGGCGGCUUGUCGCGUCGUCCGUGAAAACCCACAGCUCAACUGUGGGCUUGCGGUCGAUACGGGCAGGCUAGAGUUCGGUAGGGGAGACUGGAAUUCCUGGUGUAGCGGUGAAAUGCGCAGAUAUCAGGAGGAACACCUAUAGCGAAGGCAGCUCGCUGGGACGGUACUGACGCUGAGGCGCGAAAGCGUGGGGAGCGAACAGG